UCCUCCCGGUGCGAAGAAGAGGAAACCGGGCCUUGUAUCCUGGCAACUUUGUCGCGUUGUACAGUAAUUUAGCUUCGAGUCACUCGUUAGGUCGGUCAUCGGAGCUGCUACCCAGUCUGCUCCAGAUGCAGCAAUGUGGUCGGUCGGUCGGUUUAUCCCACACUGAUAGUUGUUUAAUUCAAAAAGGUCAUGUACUCGUGUCGUAUUAGGGGCACAAAAAUUGCUUGCUGUGCUAAUUUUCCUGGCAAUGUGGCAAUUGUGGUAGGUUGUUACAUCCAUCUACCCAAGAAGAAAAUGAAAUGGGGGAACGGAGUCUUACUGUGAAUAUACUUUGCUUACUGACUUGCGAUGUUGUUGUUAGUGCUCGGUCCCUGGUUUGCACAAUUUUGAAUGGUCCCUAAUCGUCUCUGGAUGGUUUUUGUUGCUGCACAAGUUUUUCUGACGUGCUACCUGAACCUGCCCAGUAAGCUGCACAAGUUUUUCUGAAGUGCUACCUGAACCUGCCCAGUCAGCUGCAUCGCAACUGGGUUCACUCCGCCGACAGGCCUAUGCGAAGUACCCAACCCUUUUUUCUAGAGAACUAAAGUGACCUUUAUUAAUAGUGACGUUCAACGGGAGUUUUAUAGUGUCACCCAAUGGCGGCCGACGGUUAAGAGAGAAAAUCUGGCUAGGCCGUGUGUUUCAUCUUCAAUGUUCCUUCGUUCAUGGAGAACCAGGCAUUGAUCUCUCUGACUAUCGCCUGAUUUUACUUCACUACCAUCGCAAUGGGCACUCGGCGAGCUGUCCGAUCUAUGUUGCUUAGCGUACUAUUCCUCUUUGCAACAAGGUAUUGUUUUACUCUUUUGCAAGUAGAGUAUUGUUUUCAUGUCAAAAAAAAACAAGAGUAUUGUUUUAGAAAGUGACUACUGCAAAAGGAGCCUUGUUUCAGAAACAGAACGGUGACUACUGUAACAAGAGCUUUGUUUCAUAAACACGUCGAUGACUAUUGCAACAAGAGCUUUGUUUCAGAAUCAUUGGCGGCAUUGCAAAGCAUCUCCGCAUGUGAUCACUCUUUGCAAAGAGAACUCUGUUUCAGAAACAUCAUUGACUAUUGCAACAAAAGCUUUGUUUUAGAAACAUUGAUGACAUUACAAAGCCUCUAAACACGCAGCGCAGGGCUGGGAGCGUAUCGAGCAGGAGGGCUCCCUGACAUGGACACCGCCGAUGGAGAGGUCGUGCGCUGGCCGCGCGCCGCUGGAGCAACGACCGAGUCACGUGGAUCUCUGGCACCGUCGUUGACGUCAGGAGGUGGAAUUAGAUGCAGGGCGGGAGAGAUGUAAGCGGCGAGGCGGUCGGCUGCCCGGUGUGAGUGGCAGGCUUGCAAUGCCUUGGCCGAUCUGCAUCAGAAGAGAAGAAAUGUGAGAGAAAGAGAGAUGAGAGUCGUGGGAAGAAGACGAUGCAGCUGGGCGUUGUUUCAUAAAUCUAGGAAGGUGGAGACGUGUGUGGGCCCCACAUGGACACGUGUUGCACAACGAAGGCGGUGGAAGCGAAGUUUCUUUUCAGCCGGUCGACAACGAGUGUUUCCCUAAUUUGAUCCAAACAUCAGAAAGUUACCAAACAAUAGUUGAGAUCAUAGCUGCAAGAAACUACAAAAUAACUCUUAUAACUAACAAUUACAGUGAAAUUUCUGAAAAUCAUCUUUUUCAUCGUAUGAUUUGCUCUUCCUGGGCUCCUCGGCUGUAACUUUCCACGAGAUAACCACCCACGCCCAAGCUGGAGGCCCUAGCAUGCCGAAAAGCUAAAGGCCUAGCCAAUGAUUUGCUAAUUCGUCGAGUGCUCCUGUCUGUUACUCCCUCCGUUCCUAAAUACAAGUCUUUGUAGAGAUUUCACUAUGGACCAUAUACGGAUGUAUAUAGAUGCAUUUUAGAGUUAGAUUCACUCAUUUUGCUCCGUAUGUGGUCUAUAGUGGAAUCUCUUCAAAGACUUAUAUUUAGGAACGGAGGGAGUACAAAACAGAAGAUAAAGUGAUGAGAGGUUACGGUUCCACAGGUCAGUCGUCACGGAUUUCAUCGGUUCUGCUCACCUCCAGUUGUAGUAGAUGUGGUCUCAGCAGAUAACCCCGACUACACCAUUCAACCCGUUUCCUUGAUACCGCUCCAUCAGCGCGGGAUAGGUCUUGGCUUGCCGCGAGAUAUAUUCCAGUCUCGCCUUUUGCGCUUCGUGCGUGCUCGCCUCAGUGGGCCGACCCAUUAGAGUGUUUUGGGAAGGUUCUAUACAUCGAUAAAGAGCGAAUUUACAACCUUUGUAGAGAUUAUUUUCUUCUUCUCUUUGUCGUUUUUAGUCUUUGUUGGUUGCACUGCUUUUAUUUUAUUCUUUAUGGUUCUUUUUUUUUCAUUUUCAACUACUUUGUCGUCUACUUUCAAAUACACAUUAAACAUUUUUCGUAUACAUGUCGAACAUUUUCCAGAAACAAGUUGAACACUUUUCUGAAUUACAUGUUGAACAUUUAUGAAACACACAUUGAAAAUUUUCUGAUAUAUGGCAAACAUUUUUCAUAAAUGCCAUGAACAUUUUUCUAAAAAACAUGCAAAACAUUCAUUAUGUGUUAGAGCAUUUUGUCUAAAUGGCAUUAACAUCUUUGAAUGGCAAGAAUCAUUUUUAGAAAUUUUCCAAUUUUUUAUGUUGUACAUAUUUUUUUAAAAAUCAUAAUCAUAUUUUCUAAACGCCUGAACAUUUUUGUAAGUUUCAUGAACAUUUUUUAGAAUAGUGCAAAACAUUUUAUUAAAAUUAUACAACUUUUAUUCACACUAUAUAAACAGUUUAAAUAAAGACAAUGAACAUAGUCUUGAAACGCAUGAACAUUUUUUAAAGUCAUGUAGAAUUAUUUUGAACGUGAUGCACAUUUUUAAAAAAUUGUACAAACAAAUUCUUACACAAAACAAACAUUUUUUAAAUGCAUGACAAAGUCAUUUAAUAAUUUAAGUAAAUAUUUAUUCUAUAUAUGCAUUUCAAAAUAUAAAUAUAAGUAAGAAAAUCAUAAAGAAAAACCUUAAAUAUGACAGGAGCCAGCAGAGCAAUAGCUCGAGAUGAUCGAGGUAAUUUUGCAGCAGAGUCUUGUGUGCGACCCCAUGUUUUUACUAUAGAUUCAGCGGAAGUUAUGGCUAUCCAAAGUGGUUUGAUCCUAGCAAAAACUUUGGGUGCACUAAACUCAUCAUCUAGUCUGACAGUAUGGUGGCGUUGGAGGCCAUCUCAAAUGCUUAUAUGAGAACUAAUGUUUCAAUCAUUGUGAGUAUUCUCUCAUGGCCAUGGAAUUUGCUAGCACUGGUUUUGUCCACUGCAACAAGGAAGCAAAUAUGGUAGCAGAUUGCUUGGCAAAAACACUAUUUCAGCAUUAGUAAGUCUGCAUCUUUGAAAUCCAAUGUCCCUGUCUUUAUUCUUGAUCACCAUGUAAAAGACCUUGCUAUUGUUUGAUGAAUAAAGUUGUUGGUCAAAAAGAAAAAAAGAAAAAAGAGAGAAAGCUUACACCUAACGUUGAAAAGAAAGGAAAAACGCUUGAAGAAACGAAUGUGCAAUUGAUUUUCUUUUAGGGGAACGAACUUGCAAUUGAUGACGCACGUCUGGAGGAUUUGGGCUGGGCCCUGUGCUAACAGUAACCUGGGCAUCUCCGGGCCGGGCCGGGUCUCAGGCUGGGUUUUCAAAAGAACGACCUCAAAAUACCAAGCCUGGGCCCGGCCCGGCCCGGCCUGCAGCCCGACAAAAAGGCUAUUUUGUCUAUCAAAAAGAAUAAAAUACCUAAUUUCGCGACGCGGAUUUUUGGGACAUGCGGCCACGCGCAACCCAUAUCCAGGACGUCCGCCUGUGCGUCGCGAUGACUACUUUUAAUAGGCCAUCUAGGAAUACUGGACAGCUUAAUUAGCAGCUUCCCAAAUACCUCACUUUAUACGACCGUGGUGUGGGCCAGGACUGCAUUGAAUGUCGUAUGAAUACAUGGGCCAGGCGACGCCCUACCGAUCGAAUAAUUGCUUUGGGCGUUGGGUGGACAUAAUUGAGCUGUUGCCCAAGUUCAGUUCUCGCAGUGCGCAUCUCGUCUUUCCGUCGACCAUGGACGAACAAAGCAAGGUGUGGAGAUGGGUUCUGCAUAGACGGAGAGCGGCAUCGGUUGCACAACACACCCACUGCAUGCUUCUCUCGCGUUUAGCAAGUAGGAAAAAUCUAGCACUGUCGUCGUCGUCUUCUAGCUGCGGCACGCCCGUAAGCAUCUCUCCAAAUUUCUUUGUUGUGAGAGACACACAGCUAGGAGGCCGUUGCGUUGAUGGGUCAUCAAUGGAUUGUUGGGUGCAUUUACGUUUUGCAGGGGCGGCUGAGGGUAUUCACUCCUCUGUUGUGUCUUUAAGUAUGUGCAUCGCAUGUGGGGAGGACAUACCUAGUGAUACGGGAUCUCAGGUGCUACAAUGCUUGAAUGAAUCCUGGACCGCUAGAUCAUAUUCAAAGGGACAUGAUGAAUGCAAGGGUGAUGAGCAGCUCCUUCACCGCAGAAUAUACCAGAAGCACCUUGGAUUCUAUACUUAAUUAAGCCCAAGGGAAUGGGAAGAUGAGGAUUUCUGGAUUUCCUCAAUUUUGCCCAUUGUUUAUUUAGCAAGAGCAUGCGUGAAAUGAUGCAUGUAACCUUGUUAUCACAAUAAAAAAAAGUACGGGACGCUUCUACUGGUAAAAACCAUAUACACAUUCUAAAAUUGUAGGUGUUAACUUAGAAAAAAAAGUUGUGCAUUUUAAUUAACCACAGCAUUCACUCAAUUAGAUUCAGUUCCUCUUCAAGAUAGCUGGAAAUGCUUGCUUGUACAUUCUCUACAAAAAACUUAGCUUCCGUGAAAGCAAAUAUAGCAUGUACUAGGUCAGUUGUCCAACUGAUUUCAGAUUGUACAAGCUAGAACGGCACAUGGAAUAUGUGAAGACCAACAGUGGAAAAUGUUCGUUUAUAAUAGUACUCUGUGUGGAUUAUCAUAAUUGACAUUAUAUGCAAAUUUAUGGACUAGACAUACCAGACUACUAUUAGUGUUUCACGGACAAAGUAACCAAAAAAUUAAUAAAUUUAUUUUGUUGAACUUUAAGCAGUAUAAAAGCAAAAUAUGAAGAUGGCAUAAUUUCGUAUGGAGAUUGCACCAUAGCAAGACAUGAGUGAAAACCAGAUUUAAGUUCGUGUGUCUGGGCAAUGAAACUAAACCUUUUUUUGUGCCCGUAAGUGAAACCGAGGCUCGUAAACUAGUAGUACUAGUAGGAAAAGGGCCUGAUGCUUAAUUAAUAACAUGAAUCGGAGUGUUUUUGUAUAUACAGUGGAGAGGCUGCUCAUCACGUGUGCCUUCAUCCUGUCCCUUCCAACAUAAUCGAAAGGCCCAUGAUCCAUCGGAGCAUUGUAUCACUUGAGUUGCGGUAUCACCAGAUAUGUUGCCCGCAUGUGGGCUCCCAGAUCGCUGAAUUAUUGCCGUUGGGCUGCUGGGUGUGGGAUUAAUGCACGCGCUGCCUCGCAGGCCAUGCACUGCAUGUGUCAGGUGCAAAUACACACGCUAUACCGAAUGCUAUACGACGAGGCGAAUUCCUUAUACGGCCGGAGGGUAUUAAAGCUGCACGCAUCACGCGGCAGCAUGCGGUGUGGAUUUUGGACGCGCGUGGUGGCAUGUCCACUCGCGAUUUAUCGCUAAUUUCGUGGCUAUAUAAUACUAUAUUAUACAUAAUUUUUUAAAAUAUAUAUUAAAAGAUAGGUUUUACUAGGCUUUUCUCGGUCUUUGGGCCGGGCUUGGGUGAGAAAAGUGAGGCCCGAGCCCGGCCUAGACGUUAGGGUUUCGGCCGGGCUGCCCAUGCCCAGGUUUAGCUAACACCCUGCGGGCGACAAGUCUUUGUGUGCGAGACAGAGGUGCUCCAAGAAAUCACUAAUUAAGGCGCACUCUUCGUAAAGGUCACUCCCACCUUCUCGGGUUGCGACAAGUAGCGCACUGCAUGAUAGUUUUUCUUUUCAUAGAUUCUUUAUUCAAAAUGUUUUAUCUAUUAAACCGUGCGUCUAAAUCUCGAACUGCUUUAAUCAUUGGUUUCCUCACGUCGAGAUCUUCAAAGCUAGAUCCAUGUUGAUAGGUUUUGACGAACGUUUUUUGGGUGUGUUUAGGGCAUAUCUAGAUGUGCUCUAGUUGUUACACAUCUAAGUGAGUGACUCAAGCAUAAAGAGGAAAAGAAAAAAACAAAAUAUCCACACGAAUCUUAACGUAAGAUCAAUGACAUAGAACUUAGAUGUGCAAUAUUUAUGGCACAUCUAGAUGUGCUUUAGCAAAACCAAUUUUUUUCACCAAAAAACAGAAGAAAAAAAACAAACCGGGAGCACUUUUUCCCUUCCCGAAAGAGGCAGGACUGUGCCUCUCGCGGAAGCAAAUCCAUGCCUCCACAAGAAGUAAACCCGUGCGUCCAAAUGUCGAACCGCUUUAACCGUUGGUUUCCUCGCGUCGUGAUCUUAAAACUAGAUCCGUGUUGAUAGGUUUUGACGAAAAAAAUUCACCAAAAAAUAGACGAAAAAAUCGAACCGGGAGCAGUUUUUUUCCUUUCCAAAAGAGGCAGGACUGUGCCUCUCGCAGAAGCAAAUCCGUGUCUCCAUAAGAAGUAAAACCGUGCGUCUCGCAGAAGAAAAAAAAAGGGAAAACACAUUUUCUCUCUCUAUUUUUGAGAGGCACUACCGCGCCUCUCGGGAAGGAAAAAAAAGAAAACGCGUUAUUUUUUUGGUAUCCGAGAGGGGCUGUGCCUCUCACGGAAGCAAAUCCGUGCCUCUCGCGGAAGGAAGAAAAAGGGUUUUUUCGUUUUCAAGGCAAAAUUGGGUUUUUUUCGCGUAAUUUUUUUAAUUUUUUAAUUCAAAAGCUAAGAAAGACUCGUGAAAAACUAAUAAGCCAAAAUAACAUGGAAAAAAACUAUCUAAAAGCCAAAACCACGUAUGAAAAAAUAAAAAUAAAAAACAAAAAUCAGUGGAGGCGCCCAGAGCGCGGCAUAUGGCGGCGGCGCUCUUAGCCGACUCCAGGUGACCCUUGCGAGGAAUCCCAAAAAAAAAGGUGAUCCUUGCGGGGGACCCGAAGGAGUACUCCGUCUUUAGUUGCUCCUGGCUCUCCUGCGGCAGCUCCUAUUGGGUGCCUUCUGCACGAGUUAACUAACCUAACGCUAACGCGCGCCCCUUUGUCAGCCGGCCAAAUAACGAGAGGAGCGUCGUUCGUUCGGUCGAUGGAAAAAAUCGAUCUAGUUCGAUCGCUCGGAGGUGGUCCACAAUCGACUGCUGACGAAGGACCGCUGACCAUUGACUUUUCACACAAAAGUUCACAAAGUAAAAUAGGGAUUCAAAAAAUCAUAAAAAAACCAAAAGGUUCACAAAUCAAAGAAGUUCAUUGAUUUAAAAAAAGUUCAUCUAUUUCUAAAAAACAACAUCAGUUUUUAAUCAAUUACAAUUUGAAUUUUUUCAAAAAAAUUAUCAAUUUGAAAAAAGUUCAACGAAUUUAAAAAAAUUUAGUCAAAUUUGCACAAAGUUAAUCGACUUUGAAAAAAGUUGAUCAAAUUUGCAAAAAGUUCAUCAAACUUGAGAAAACAGUCUAUUCGAAAAAAAGUUCAUUUGAUUUGAAAAAAGUUCAUCGAUUUGGGAAAAAAGUUCACAAAUUUGAAUAAAAGUUCAUGGAUUUUGGUGAAAAGGUUCACGAUUUUGAAGCAAACGUUUAUGAAUCGAUGCAUUUAAUGAAAAAAAGGCCAGAAAAAAUAAAAAUAAAAAUCAAAUAUAAUCGGUUGGGAAAAUCCCAUGAACUGAGCAAGGAAAUAAAAGAGAAAAAGCAACAGUUUCACAACGGAUUGGAUACCUGAAUGGUUAGUGUGCUUGCAUUCGAACAUGGAGGUCUGUAGGUUCGAAGCCGGACAACUCCACCUUUUUUUUUAGUUAUUUACAGAAUUAAAAUCAUAUCUGGAGCGGUGCAGUUAAGAGCAUCUUCAGUGCCAGUUAACAAAAUGCACGUUAACGGGCGCCUUCAGCGCCGAUUAGAAAAUGCGCUUUCCUGCCGCGGUGACUAUUUAUCGCAUUAGGGUGUGACCUAACAAGAAACGAGCCGAUAUUCCAUAGGUUUUCUAUAUACUUUUGGAUUUGUUUUUUCACAAGUUUUUGUAAAUUUCUUUUCUCAGUUUUCACAGAUUUGUUUUAUCUUUAGAUUUAUCUUUGGUUUUCUUUAUUCUCCAUAUUCUUUUUUCUAUUUUGUUUCUUUUUUGUUUUAUCUUCUCAGUUUUUUCAAACUCUUUUCAUUUUAUUGCAUUUUGUUUCUUUGUUUUUUUGUUCAUUUUCUUUCUAUUUUUGGUUUAUUUGUUCUAUUGGUUAUUAUUCUACUUUUUUGUAUAUGUCAACAACAUUUGUCUAAUACACGUCUAAAUUUUUUCCAAUUCAAAUUAUACAUUUUCGUAAUACAAAGUCAACAUUGUUUUCUAUACACAAUUUUAACAUAUUACAAAUAGAAGAUUGACAUUUUUUGAGUACAUGGUCAACAUUUUUUCGAUUUCUUUUUAAAAUUUCUUAAAUUCUUGAUUAACAGUUUUCAAAUAAAAAUAGUAAUAUAUUUUGAAUACGUGGUCAACAUUUUUUCAUACACAUUUACUUUUUCGAAAUGAUUGAUUAAUACUUUCCAAACAAUUGUUCAACGUUUUUUUAAUUCUUUAUUAAUAUUUUAUAUACAUGAUCAUAUUUUUCAUCAUGUUUUAAUACAUGGUCAACAUUUUUUCCAUACACAUUUGACAUUUUUCAAAUGCUUGAUUAGCAUUUUUCAAAUACUUCUUCAACCUUUUUGUAUACACAUUUAACAUUUUUCAAUGCUUGCAUAACAUUUUUUCUAUACACAUUCAACAUUUUCAAUGCUUGAUUAACAUUUAUAUAUACAUUGAUAAAAAAAUUCCAUCAUUUCUCUAAUACAUGGUCAGCAUUUUUUCUGCACUCAUUUAACAUUUCCAAACGCUUGACUAACAUUUUUUAAAUAUUUGUUCAAUAUUUUUUUCAAAAUGCUUGAUUAACAUUUUUUAUAUACAUGAUGAAAACAAUUCAUCAUUUUGAAAUACAUGUUCAAUAUUUUUUCUAUAGACAUUUUGUAUUUUUUCCAAAUGCUUGAUUAAGAUUUUUCAAACACUUGUUCAAUAUUUUUUCAGAUGCUUGUUUAAUAUUUUCUCUAUAGACAUUUAACAUUUUUCAAAUGCUUGUUCAACAUUUCUCGGAUCUUUUUAUGUAGAUUGAUUUUGUAAUAUAUUUAUUUUGAGAGAAAGCAAAAAAAUGAAAAAAAUCAGAAAAACUAGACAUAUCAGCACGCCUGGGCCGGCCCAACUCGUGCGAACCUUUACCCAGACUUCCACUUGUCUCACGUGCUGGGAGACAUAUAGGGCGCGUUUGGUUUCAAUUCUCAGCCGGGCCUGGCUGAGAGGAUGAAAACGAGCCAGGCUGAGCAGGACCUGGUUUCGAGAAAACAAGGCAAAAAACGAUGUUGUCUAGUUGUGUGGUUGCCUGCAUACAAUGUCUUGUCACCGUAAAGCAAUUUUUCACCCGGUGUUUGGUUGCCUGGCUCGCAUGGUGAUUAGGAGUCAACGACUAUACUUAAAUCAGAGCACCUCGGCGAGCAUGGCGGCCUCCUCGGUGGGGGACACGGCUGCCUCCCCGCACGCGCUGGAGUACCUCCAACCUAGCAGUUAAGGGGGGCGACGACGAAGUGCAUGGAGCUGGACCACCCGAUUUGGCGCCGCAUGGUGUCCGGCUAGGAGCACAUCGCCGCGAGCCUUGCCGUCCACUGUUGAGGCAGGGGUGCGUGCCUUGCUGCGGGGCCACCUCGCCCACGCCCACGCCCGCCUCACCGCCUCGCCCCGCCGCCUUGGCGCGCUAGGAGUCACCCUGAGCUGCCUCGCCUCGCCGGCCGUGCGCUGCAUUGGGUGCGCGCGGGCACGAGAACCUGGUGCCGCUUCGGGCCUUUUACGAGGGACGCCGGGGGGAGAAGCCGCGGCAGCGGCUGUCAAAAGCGGAUCACCACUAACGUGGCCACGGUGGCGCAAGAUCGCGCUGGGCGCGGCACGCGCGCUGGCGUACCUGUACGAGGGGCGGCCAAAUACGCGGUGGUGGGAAGGCUGCUGGUGCCGUCGGCGGCGAAGGCAGACGGGGGCGACGACCUGUCGUUGCUGGUGAAGGCGGCUAUGCUCGAGGAGACGGCUGUGGAGGUGUUCGAACCGGAGAUGGCGAAGGGUGUGUGGAACUCGGCGGAGGAGGGCCCCGUGCAGGCGCUGAAGCUGGCGAUGGGCUGCCGCGCGCCGGUGGCUGCGGUGAGGCCGAGCUUGGCGGAGGGGGCGCGGCAGCUCGAGGAGAUCCGGCCCAAGGUUAGUCGGCCGAGGAGCAGCACCAAGGUGAUGUAGCGCGGCGGCGACGGGUGCUUCAGCCAGCUCGCACGCAAUGAGCGUUGCGGCUGCAACAGCGAGGCGGGCCCAGCGGUCGGAUCUGGCGUGCGCAGGCGAGUUCGACGGCCGGCGAGGUGGAGGAGGAGUGGUUCAUGGGCUGGAAGGUGAGGUAGAUUGGGCUGUGUGGCCAUUAGAGGAAGGAGGAAGAGGACGAGGGGCAGACGUGAUUAAGUGUAAUCACGUUCCCAGCGAGCCACCAACCUGUGCUACAAAGCAUCGCUCAAACCUGCCUCGCUGGAAACUGCCGAUUUGGACGUCUCCAUGAAGCCGGGCCUAGAGGUGCUUUAAGAAUUGUGCCGUGCAGGUCCAACAGUAUACACAGUUAACCAAACAGCCCAUGACCGAAAGAUGCUGUAACCAUAAGGCCUGCUUGGGCUAAAUGCGGGCAACCAAACGUGCCAUAAACACCCCGCUCCGGCCUGAUAUUAAGCCACAAAUGUUUGCUAGAACACAAUUGGGCUUGACUUUGCCGUCGCCUAUUUUUCUGAGUGGCAGGUCGGGAGCCCCUGAUAUUAAAUAUUUUUGUUAUUUAUUUCUUGUUUUUCAUCAGUUUUCUUUGGUUCUCAUUGUUCUCUUUAAUUUUUCUUCAAUGUUUUUUCCUUUUUAAUACGUGUUUAGUUUUUCAACACACGUUGUAAUUGUUUUCCAAUAUAUUUUAAAUAUUUUUUGUACACAUUAAUACUUUUCAAUUACAUGAUUUAAUUUUUUAAUUACAUGUUUUCAAAAAAAUCGAAUAUGUGUUAAAAGCUUUUCAAUUACAUCUUGAAAUAUUUUUAAAACUAUGCGAAUAUUUUCUAUAUCUGUAUAAACAUUUUAAAAUAUAUAUGUACAUAUUUUUGGAACACAUGAUUUUUGGGAUAUGUGACGUAGAUAUUUUAAUGGGAUGAAACUUUUUUAAAUUAAAUAGUUUUUAUUUACAUUGCAUAUUGUAUAAAAUGUAAUUUAUAUUUCUUUGAAAUAUUUGAUUUUUUUAUCACAAAACUUUUCUGAAUGCUAUCAUUUUCUUGAAACUACACUACAAUUAUUUUACACUGUGUUAACAUUUUGAAAGAUAUUUUCCAAUUAUUAUCUAAGUUUAUGUUGUUUUGUAUAUAUACAUUUAGAAAAUUUCAAAUAAUGGAACAAUAGAAAGAAAAGAUGAACGGAUGAAAAAGAUAAUAAGAAAAAUGAAUUUUAACUCGCAGGAAGGCACUUGGACCGGCCCAGUAAUAGCAGCGAGAGGGCAAUGCUCGUGGCGAGAGCUACUUCAGGGUCGCUUUAAGCGACAUAUAGCCGGGUCGGCCCCUAAUCGGCCACUCCAACUGAUUCUCAAAAUAACAAAAGAAAGUUGUUGGAAAGGUCAGGCACAUUAAACUUGUGGGCGACAUAACCACGCAACACGGUUUAUUUUUCGUGGAAGGAAAACUUACGGUGUGUAUCCUUAGGACGAAAAGAAUUUUUUUUUUAGUUUCUUGUCGAUGUUAAUUGUUUCUCAUUCAGUGUUGGCUGCUCCAUCGUUCUAUUUUAUUUUUCUUAAUAUGAAUCAUUGGGGCAUGUACAUUGAUUGAUACGAUAAUCUUAAUAGAAACUUGCCACGUAAUUUUGGGAUAUCAAUAAAAGCAUGAUGUACAAUGGAUAAUCUCUUAGUUUUAUCUCCAGUAACGAUAUAUGCCUAAAUAUGGGUUGACAAAUAUUACUGCUAAGUGAUCAUCUCUUAGUUAAGAAAAGACAAGUACUUUUUGUUUCUCUUUCCUCCACCUAAACAAUUAGGGCCCUCAUAAUUAGUGAACUUUCGCUGGGGAUGACUAUUGCGAAUGAUUUUGAUGGCAAGUUAUGUUGAUCGAGAAUGACAUACUCUCUCCGUUCCUAAAUAUUUUAACAAGUGACUACAUACGAAGCAAAAUGAGUGAAUCUACACUUUAAAAUAUGUGUAUAUACAUCCGUAUGUGGUAGUUCAUUUGAAAUCUCUAAAAAGACAAAUAUUUAGGAACGGAGGGAGUAUUAGUUAGCGAGAAUGGCAACUCAACUUCGUUUUUAUUUUUUGCAAGAAAAUUGCCGUGCUUGCAAACUAAAAUUACCGUCCUGACGACAAUUUAAAUUGUCAUACAAACAUUCACAAUCGCCAUCUCUCUCAACGAACGUCAGCUGAAUAACAUCAUCCAACAUUUAUCUUACGUGACACUUAUAAGAUAACAACAAUUGUACAUUCCAUAACUGCAAUGAUAUCAAGCGUUUCGUCUAACAGAAUUGGUGUGCACACCGCAUCAGUGAGAUGCAGAGACGCAUAGAUAUGCGGAAUACAGAGGCGUACUAAGUGAUUAGACAGUCUGUGGUGAGCCUGGAGGCGCAGGCGCCAACAGGCAACACAGGAAGGUUCUCGGCUGCAAUCAUGGAAAUUUGCCACGCAUUGCACCAGCCACCCCACAGGACGAGGUUCCAUUCCAUCUUCCAAACCGGACACCGGCACCAGUGCUGUCUCCUGAAAAGAAUAAACUAAUGCAAAACCAAACCACACCCCACCCAUCCUCGGACGGCAUGGCGCUGCAUCCUGCAUGGUGGCUGGGUCGCCGGCGGCGUCACGAAACGGACGUUCUCGAGGACCCGGGACCAGCCCGUCGGGCCACGGGCUCACGCUGGGAUCACGGGACCCUCGAGCGGAGAAGAUCGAACGUGGGCAGCAAAAGGACGACGAGACCCCACCCGUGUCCGUCUGGCGCCACGAGCAAGCAAUCACGCAACCUUGUCUUGCAAAAGCUCGCACCUACCGCCCUAGGGUUUCCACAGCUCGUACUGACCUAUGCUCCUAGCUAGUUGAUGGCGUUCGCGGAUAGGGUCCGGCCACCCCUUAUUUUUCGUCCAAGGAAACAAUAAACUUCAACUCUCAUAUUUUUUUCAUACUACACACCAUGCAACGUAAAAUAAGCUACGUACUACAUACUACUGGCAGUGUCGGACGGACCGGGCUACUGGUUGUUGGCCACGGCUCGCAUCUUCAGUUCCUCAUUGAACUUCAUGUCCACGAAGACUUCCUCCAGCUCUGUAUCUGCCUCGUGGAGAUAGCGGCAGUUUGCCUUGACCUCGAGAUCCGACUAAAUGGACUCGAGGAUACUCCACCGCUUCCUCCGCUUGGGCUACCUCGAACUCGGCCAGCGUGUCGUUCAUGGUGAAUCCGGCCGUAGGAAGUACCGGAUCCGCCUCGCCGCCCACCUCCUCCUCAUCCCGCGUCCUUCAUCUCCACGUCUGGCGACGCCUGCUCCGCCCCGUACUGCUCCGAAGAGUCCGAAGGCAAGCCGAUGGCGAAGCGAGUGACGCCCCGUGUGUCGAUCUCCGCUAGGAUCUUCACCCAGCGCUGCGCAGUGAGACUCUUGUACGCGUCGAUCCCCUGGCGGACCAUGGCUGCCCGUGGAGGCAUGCUCGGAGCGAAUUGGAGUGGACGACGAACUUGGAGCUUGGGAGUAGCGGCGCGGGCGGAGGGGGGUAGAAGGUGGAAAUGAAAGUGGCUAGGGUUGAACUCGCUGUCCGACUUAAAUAGCCGGAUUUGGCCCCUCGGGCGGCAUGCCGGAGCAACGACAUGAGUGUGUCCUCACCGGACCGACGGGUUUUGACGUGUGUCUUGCCCGCCAGUCAGAUGUGACGGACGCGUCCGGACCUCCUCAUAUCCGCCUCAGAUAUGGACUCGAUAUAAAGGGUGUCGAUCAGCCCUGACGUAUAGGGCUGGUCUCAGGAAUCUAACUGGGUCAUGAUUUUGUGACUGGUCACUGACAUGACCGUCACGUAUAGUGUCACAUCCGUCUGGAAGCACCCGUGGAAGAUCGAGAGGCAUAGAAUUGUAUUAUCAGGAAACCACAAUUGCAACACACACAGUUGUGACACGUAGGCAUAGAAUAAGAAGAUAUAAUGAUUAGGCAUUUAAUUUUCUGUGAAAUGGUUUCUGGUGGCAGGACAAUAAUAACAAUGCCAUUGGCGAAUAUCUAUCACAGGAUGACAUCCUUAGCAAUAAUAAUACAUUACACAAAAAGAUUUUGCAAGACUUUGGUCCUAUUAACUCAAGAAGCACAUUCCAACUGCAAUCAUUUCCUAGAGAUAUUAAAUAAUAUACCAAGUCUACCAUUUGGCUAGGGCUGAAAUAUCGACCGAUGAAGAGAAGUAGGAAAGAGAAAUAUGAAGAUUGUUAAGUCAUUAUAUGGUUUUGCUGGGAUGUUGUGAAUCACGGAUGGAUGUGUUCGCAAAAAAUAAUACAUUUGCACAUGGAAUACCAACUUAAUUUUUAUGAUGUUUCCUCGAGACAUGUGUUUCUCUCUUUAUCUUUUUCUAUGGUUUAGAUGAAAUUUUAGUGUCAUAGCGAUGACAAAAUAAAUUCAAUUAAUUUUUGACACAAGGGAAAAUACUUAUGGUAAACAUAAUAUCAAAUAUAACUAUUAGACGCGAAAGAAUAAUACAAAAUAUUUACCGAAAAAGAAACGACCAUUUCAUGUCAAUAUGUGAUGAAUCAUUUCAUUUUUCUCAAAACUACACUUAGAUGCAAAAUAAAGCUCUAACAUUUUCGAAUUAUAGAAUAUUUUAGAAAAUUUCCACAACAUUUGUAGAUUUGAUAGGUUUAUAAUGGAAAGCAAAAGUUGUAGCCGCGCAAAUGCGCGGGCAACACCGCUAGUUUCCAUAAAAGUACCUCCCGCGGAGGAAUCCAAAAUAUUUCUAGAAACAAAAUUCAACCCCGCAUAAUUUUUUUGUAUAAUCAUCCAUAGAUUUAAACCAUAAGUAGGACAAUUUCUUAGCAUCAAUUUCAUUCUUUCCCAAGAUUGUGCAACAUGUUCAUGCUCAAGUUGCUUGAAAUUCAUGAUUUGAUUUCUAAGGGAAAUAAUUUUCGCGAGCGGAAAAUACUUAGUAAUAAAAGCAUCUUUGCACUUAUCCCAAGAAUCGAUACCAUUACUAGGCAAAGAAGAAAACCAAAAUUUUGCACGAUCCCUCAAAGAGAAAGGAAAUAAUUUCAACUUCACAAUAUCAUUGUCCACAUCUUUUUUCUUUUGCAUAUAACACAAAUCUAUGGAAGUGUUUAGAUGGGACACGAUAUCCUCAUUAGGACUACCGGAAAAUUGCUCUUUCAUGACAAGAUUCAAUGAAGCGGCAUUAAUAUCAUAAGACUCCGCACUAGUAGCGGGAGGAGCAAUCGAAGUACUAAUAAAAAUCAUUAUUAUUAGUAUUGGAAAAAUCACACAAUUUGGUAUUUUCUUGAGACAUCGUGACUACGCAAGCAAGAUCACACGCAAACAAAAGAUCCAACGAGAAAAAGGGCAAACGAAAAGAGGGUAAAUAAAAAGGCAGAUAUUUUUAUGCUUUUCGCAAAAAAUGUUUUAGAAGUGGGGGAGAUGAAAACGAGAGGCAAAUGGAAAAUAAUGUAAAUUGCAAAGAGAUGAGAUUUAUGAUUGGGUACCUGAUAGAUGUUGAUGAUGUCUCUCCGACAAUGGCGCCAGAAAUUCUUCCUGAUUGCUUGUAUCUGCGUUGGUAUUUCCCUGAAGAGGAGAGGAUGAUGCAGCACAGCAACGCUAAGUAUUUCCCUCAGUUAUGAAACCAAGGUUAUCAAUCCAGUAAGGAAACCAAGCAACACUAUGUAAACAGUACCUGCACACAAAUAGCAAAUGCUUCCAACCCAACGCGUAAGAGGGGUUGUCAAUCCCUCCUCGGUAUUGAGAUAGAUUAAAUUGUAUGAGAUUGGAUAAAUAGAUCUAGCAAAAACACAAAAUAAAAUAAAGAAAGAAAAAAAUGCAGCAAGGUAUUUUUGUUUUUUUGGAAUAAUAGGUCUGAAAAUAAUAUGAUAGGAAAUAGACCUGGGGGCCGUGGAUUUUUCACUAGUGGCUUCUUUCGAGAAAAUAACAUACGAUGGGUAAACAAAUUAGUGUUGGGCAAUUCAUAGAAUAACAAAUAAUUAUGACAAUAUCCAAGGCAAUGAUCAUGUAUAUAGGGAUCACGUCCAAGAUUAGUAGACCGAAACGAUUCUGCAUCUGCUACUAUUACUCCACACAUCGACCGCUAUCCAGCAUGCAUCUAGUGUAUUAAGUUCACGGAGAAACAGAGUAAUGCAAUAAGAACAAUGACAUGAUGGAGGCAAGAUCUAUUCAUGUAGGAAUAUACCCCAUCUUUUGAUCCUUAUAGGCAACGAUACAUGCGUGUCACUUCUCCUUCUGUCACUGAGAUUGAGCACCGCAAGAUCGAACCCAUCACAAAGCACCUCUUCCCAUUGCAAGAAAAAUCAAUCCAGUUGGCCAAACCAAACCAAAGUUUCAGAGAAGAAAUACGAUGCUAUCAUAAUCAUGCAUAUAAGAGAUCAAAGAAGACUUAAUAUUCAUAGAUAGAACUGAUCAUAAACUCGCAAUUCAUCGGAUCCCACCAAACACACCACAAAAAGUCAUUACAUGAAAUAGAUCUCUAAGAGCAUCGAGGAGAACAUUGUAUUGAGAAUCAAAAAGAGAGAAGAAGCCAUCUAGCUACUGCCUACGGACCUCUAGGUCUGUGGUAAACUACUGACACAUCAUCGGAGGAGCACCAAUGAGGAUGAUGAACCCCUUCGUGAUCGUGUUCCCCUCCGGCAAGGUGCCAGAAUAGGGCUCUAGAUUGGAUCUCGUGGUUCUGGAACUUGCGGCGGCUGGAAUUGUGUUUCGUCGACUCCCCUAGGGUUUCUGGAAUAUUUGGGUAUUUAUAGAGCUGAGAGGCGGUGGAAAGGACCUCUGUGGGCCCCACUACCCAUCAGGGCGCGCCAGGGGCCUCUGGCGCCCAGGUGGGUAGUGGGCCCCACGGGCCUUCCCUCUUGCACUUCCUUGGCUCUCAAGUUGUCUUCUGGGCAGAAAAAAAUCUCCAAAAAGUUUCGCUGCAUUUGGACUUCAUUUGAUAUGGAUAUUCCAUGAAGUAAAAAACAAGCAAAAAAAACAGCAACUCGCACUGGCACUAUGCCAAUAGGUUAGUCCCAGAAAAAUGAUAUAAAGUUGGUAUAAAAUGAAUAUAAACAUCCAAAAAUGAUAAUAUAGCAGCACAGAACAAUAAAAAAUUAUAGAUACGUCGGAGACAUAUCAGAGAACAGCUCAUGUAAAUUAUUAAUAUGUAUGACCUCUUUGACAGAGAGUGUAUUAUCAUAAUAGCAGGAAUGUAACGUGGGAAAUCUUUCUUGUAGAGGAGUGCGUUCAUUACCAAUUUGCCAAUGAUCAGACCAGAAAAGGGCAGUGUCACCCUAUUCACUUUGACCAUUGUAAGAGACCUAAAUUUGUCCAUGAGCUUGCUUACAUCUCUCCACCAAAAAGAGCCACACAAAGUGGUAUCAUGGGGCACCGUACCAAAAUAAUAGGAAUCCCAGAUCAAUUGCACCCAUGGUACAUCAGAUUUAUUAUAAAACUUGUUGAGAUGUUUCAUGAGGAGAGCCUCAUUCUGCAAUCCAAGGUUGAGGAUACCCAGACCACCUUUAAACUUGGGCCUACACACCAGAGGCCAAGCAGCCAAGGAAUGACCUCUCUCCUCCCCAAAUUUUCUCUAGAGAUACUGCCUUUGAAUAUUUCCAACUGCCUGAGAAUGUCGGGAGGGAUGGACAAGCUGCAAAGGAUGUAAAUAGGUAGGGAGGAUAUGACUGAAUUGACUAACUAAAGCCUACUUCCUUGUGGUAAAAACCAAUAGCUAGUUGUGAGUCUCCUUUCCAUACAGUCCACCAGAGGCAUAAAAUCAAUUAUUUUAGGUCUGGUGGUUCCCAUAGGUAAACCCAAAUAAGUGAAAGGCAUUUUCCAAGCUGACAGCCAAACUGAGCUGCAAGAGAAGAAGCUUCCAGAUCAUUUACAUUGAUUGGGAACAUUGAGGACUUAUGAUAGUUAAUCUGCAUGCCAAUUGCUUUGGAGAAAGAACCCAUAACUAUUUUAAGAGCAGCCAACUAUGAUCUAUGAGCAUGUAGAAACAAUAAAGUGUCAUCUGCAUAUUGAAUCACAGGAUAAUCAGGAUCAUGGAUAGGUAAAGGCAGACUGUUUUCUCCCAGAUGAAGCAACUUAUUAAUCGUUGUUUUCAAAAGAGCAGGAGCCAAGACAAAGAGUAAGGGGACAGAGGGUCCCCCUGUUUCACACCACACUUACAUUUGAAGUGUUUUCCAGGCACAUCAUUCAAAAGAACUGAAGAUGUUCCAGAAGACAUUCAUGCCUUAUUAUUAAAUACGCAAUGUUUUAUAGUGUUUUUGGUUUUAGUAAAAAAAUAAAUAUUUUCACUUACAAAAAAAAUACAUAUGCAAGUUUCAACAAACAAGGGACCAUGAGGACCCAAUAAGAGCACCAGGGGAGGCUCAGUGGUUGGAACCAUCUGUCCAGGCGCCAAAAGCACCUGAGACACCUAGGCCCACCAGGCUCUCCUAGCUCCACCUUCUAUGCACCUAGCUUAUAAACUAUCCCACAAAUCUUUGUCAUAUUUUUUCACCUCUGUCACUUCGUAAUCCAAAGUGAUCUCAUCUACAACCUGGUUCUGGUAUGUUGCUAGAGGGUGAAUUCAUCAACUUCUUAAUCUACAUUAAUUCCUCGUCUCUCCAAGAUGAGCUUUGAGUAGUUCACCCUAAGUACUAUGGGCUCAUUGUAGUAGCCAAGAUGUAAUCUCUCCUCGAAUUCUCAGUAAAGUGAGCAAGAGAGUUUCCUAUCAUGAUUGUAUUCCCUCUCAUGUAUUCUUAGCGAUGAUGCUUGCAUAGACUGUUUGAUGCCAUAGUAAAAAAUAUUAAAAGAGGUUGGAGUAUGACACGUCUCCGACGUAUCUAUAAUUUAUGAAGUAUUCAUGCCAUGUUUAUAACAAUUUUAUAUAGUUUUGGUAUGAUUUGAUUAGAACUAACCCGGACUGACGCCCUUUUUAGUAGAACUACUCUGGUGUCGUUUUUUGUGCAGAAAUAAAAGUUCUCGGAAUGGGCUGAAAAUUUACAGAGAAUAUUUUUGGAAAAUAUAAAAAGUACUGGACUGAAAAGAUACCAGAGAGGAGUCCCGGGGUAACCACAAGGGUGGGGGGCGCCCCCAACCCCCUAGGGCUCGCCCCCCUACCUUGUCAUCACCUCGUGGACCCCCUUGACUUGUCCCCGACGCCAACACCUCCUAUAAAUCCCAAAAACCUCAGAUAUAAACCUAGAUUGGGAGUUCCGCUGCCGCAGGGCUCUGUAGCCUCGAAAAAUCAAUCUAGGCCAUCACUGGAGGUCAUGGAGGACGAUCCCGAAGGGGGCCAUCAUAACCAUGGAGGCCAAGAACUAGAGGGAGGACCUCUCCCCAUCUAGGGGGGAGGCCAUGGAGGAGGAAGCACAAGCGGGAGACUCUAUCCCCUCCUCUCUAGGUGGCGCCGGAGUGCCGCCGGGGGAACCAUCGCCACGGUGAUCGUCUUCAUCAACAUCACCAUCCCCAUCUCUCUUACGCGGUCCACUCUCCCGCACCGCUGUAAUCCCCUGUUGGAAAUAUGCCCUAGAGGCAAUAAUAAAAUGGUUAUUAUUGUAUUUCCUUGUUCAUGAUAAUUGUCUGUUGUUCAUGCUAUAAUUGUAUUAACUGGAAACCGUAAUACAUGUGUGAAUACAUAGACCACAACAUGUCCCUAGUGAGCCUCUAGUUGACUAGCUCGUUGAUCAACAGAUAGUCAUGGUUUCCUGACUAUGGACAUUGGAUGUCAUUGAUAACGAGAUCACAUCAUUAGGAGAAUGAUGUGAUGGACAAGACCCAAUCCUAAGCAUAGCACAAGAUCGUGUAGUUCGUUUGCUAGAGAUUUUCCAAAUGUCAAGUAUCAUUUCCUUAGACCAUGAGAUUGUGCAACUCCCGGAUACCAUAGGAGUGCUUUGGGUGUGCCAAACGUCACAACGUAACUGGGUGGCUAUAAAGGUGCACUACGGGUAUCUCCGAAAGUGUCUGUUGGGUUGGCAUGAAUCGAGACUGGGAUUUGUCACUCCGUAUGACGGAGAGGUAUCUCUGGGCCCACUCGGUUAUGCAUCAUCAUAAUGAGCUCAAUGUGACCAAGUGUUUGGUCACGGGAUCAUGCAUUACGGUACGAGUAAAGUGACUUGCCGGUAACGAGAUUGAACAAGGUAUUGGGAUACCUACGAUCGAAUCUCGGGCAAGUAACGUACCGACUGACAAAGGGAAUUGUAUACGGGAUUGAUUGAAUCCUCGACAUCGUGGAACAUGUGGGAGCCAACAUGGGUAUCCAGAUCCCGCUGUUGGUUAUUGACCGGAGAGUCGUCUCGGUCAUGUCUGCAUGUCUCCUGAACUCGUAGGGUCUACACACUUAAGGUUCGGUGACGCUAGAGUUGUAGAGAUAUUAGUAUGCGGUUAACCGAAAGUUGUUCGGAGUCCCGGAUGAGAUCCCGGACGUCACGAGGAGUUCCGGAAUGGUCCGGAGGUAAAGAUUUAUAUAUGGGAAGUCCUAUUUUGGCCACCGGAAAAUGUUCGGGAUUUUUCGGUAUUGUACCGGGAAGGUUCUAGAAGGUUCCGAAGUGGGGCCCACCUGCAUGGGGGGACCCACAUGAACGUGGGUAGUGGGGGCAAGGCCCCACACCCCUGGUCAAGGCGCACCAAGAUCCCACCUUAGAAGGAAUAAGAUCAUAUCCCGAAGGGAUAAGAUCAAGAUCCCUAAAAAAGGGGGAUAACAAUCGGUGGGGAAGGGAAAUGAUGGGAUUUCUUUCCCCCACCUUUGCCAACGCCCCAAUGGACUUGGAGGGAAAGAAACCAGCCCCCUCCACCCCUAUAUAUAGUGGGGAGGCGCAUGGGAGCAGCACCCCAAGCCCCGGCGCCUCCCUCUCUCCCGUGACACCUCUUCCUCCCCGCUUGCGCUUGGCGAAGCCCUGCCAGGAACCCGCUACUUCCACCACCACGUCGUCGUGCUGCUGGACCUCCAUCAACUUCUCCUCCCCCCUUGCUGGAUCAAGAAGGAGGAGAUGUCCCCGCUCCGUACGUGUGUUGAACGCGGAGGUGCCGUCCGUUCGGCGCUAGGAUCAUCGGUGAUUUGGAUCACGACGAGUACGACUCCAUCAACCUCGUUCUCUUGAACGCUUCCGCUUAGCGAUCUUCAAGGGUACGAAGAUGCACUCCCUCUCUCUAGUUGCUAGCAUCUCCUAGAUUGAUCUUGGUGACACGUAGGAAAAUUUUGAAUUAUUGCUACGUUCCCCAACAGUGGCAUCAUGAGGCAGGUUUAUGCGUAGAUUCUAUGCACGAGUAGAACACAAAGUAGUUGUGGGCGACGAUUUGUUCAAUUUGCUUACCGUUACUAGUCUUAUCUUGAUUCAGCGGCAUUGUGGGAUGAAGCGGCCCGGACCGACCUUACACGUACUCUUACGUGAGACAGGUUCCACCGACUGACAUGCACUUGAUGCAUAAGGUGGCUAGCGGGUGUCUGUCUCUCCCACUUUAGUCGGAUCGGAUUCGAUGAAAAGGGUCCUUAUGAAGGGUAAAUAGCAAUUGGCAUAUCACCGUUGUGGCUUUUGCGUAGGUAAGAAACGUUCUUGCUAGAAACCCAUAGCAGCCACGUAAAACAUGCAACAACAAUUAGAGGACGUCUAACUUGUUUUUGCAGGGUAUGCUAUGUGAUGUGAUAUGGCCAAAAGGAUGUGAUGAAUGAUAUAUGUGAUGUAUGAGAUUGAUCAUGUUCUUGUAAUAGGAAUCACGACUUGCAUGUCGAUGAGUAUGACAACCGGCAGGAGCCAUAGGAGUUGUCUCAAUUUAUUGUGUGACCUACGUGUCAAUGAAAACGCCAUGUAAUUACUUUACUUCAUUGCUAACCGUUAGCCAUAGUAGUAGAAGUAAUAGUUGGCGAGACAACUUCAUGAAGACACGAUGAUGGAGAUCAUGAUGAUGGAGAUCAUGGUGUCAUGCCGAUGACGAAGGUGAUCAUGCCGUGCCUCGAAGAUGGAGAUCAAAAGGCGCAAGAUGAUAUUGGCCAUAUCAUGUCACUUUAUGAUUUGCAUGUGAUGUCUGUCAUGUUUACAUCUUAUUUGCUUAGAACGACGGUAGCAUAAAUAAGAUGAUCCCUCACUAAAAUUUCAAGAAAUGUGUUCCCCCUAACUGUGCACCGUUGCGAAGGUUCGUUGUUUCGAAGCACCACGUGAUGAUCGGGUGUGAUAGAUUCUAACGUUCGCAUACAACGGGUGUUGACGAGCCUAGCAUGUACAGACAUGGCCUCGGAACACAUGCGAAACACUUAGGUUGACUUGACGAGCCUAGCAUGUACAGACAUGGCCUCGGUACACAAGAGACCGAAAGGUCGAACAUGAGUCGUAUAGAAGAUACGAUCAACAUGGAGAUGUUCCCCGAUGAUGACUAGUCCGUCUCACGUGAUGAUCGGACACGGCCUAGUUGACUCGGAUCAUGUAUCACUUAGAUGACUAGAGGGAUGUCUAUCUAAGUGGGAGUUCAUUAAAUGAUCAGAUGAACUUAAUUAUCAUGAACAUAGUCAAAAGGUCUUUGCAAAUUAUGUCGUAGCUUACGCUUUGGUUCUACUGUUUAAGAUAUGUUCCUAGAGAAAAUUUAGUUGAAAGUUGAUAGUAGAAAUUAUGCGGACUGGGUCCGUAAACUGAGGAUUAUCCUCAUUGCUGCGCAGAAGGCUUAUGUCCUUAAUGCACCGCUCGGUGUGCUGAACCUUGAGCGUCAUUUGUGGAUGUUGCGAACAUCUGACAUACACGUUUUGAUGACUACGUGAUAGUUCAGUGCGUAAGGUUGAACGGUUUAGAAUUGAGGCACCGAAGACAUUUUGAAACGUCGCGGAACAUAUGAGAUGUUCCAAGAGCUGAAAUUGGGAUUUUAGGCUCGUGCCCACGUCAAGAGGUAUGAGACCUCUGACAACUUUCUUAAACCUGCAAACUAAGGGAGAAAAGCUCAACCGUUGAGCAUGUGCUCAGAUUGUCUAAGUACUAAAAUCGCUUGAAUCGAGUGGGAGUUAAUCUUCCAGAUGAGAUAGUGAUGGUUCUCCAUAGUCACUGCCACCAAGCUAUUAGAGCUUCGUGAUGAACUAUAACAUAUCAGGGAUAGACAUGAUGAUCCUUGAGCAACUCGCGAUGUUUGACACCGCGAAAGUAGAAAUCAAUUAGGAGCAUCAAUUGUUGAUGGUUAGUAAAACCACUAGUUUCAAGAAGGGCACGAGCAACAAGGGAUACUUCAUGAAACGGCAAAUCAGUUGCAGCUCUAGUGAAGAAAGCCAAGGUUGAACCCAAACCCGAGACUAAGUGCUUCUGUAAUGAGGGGAACGGUCACCGAAGCAGAACUACCCUAGAUACUUGGUAGAUGAGAAGGCAGGCAAGGUCGACAGAAGUAUAUUGGAUAUACAUUAUAUUAAUGUGUACUUUACUAGUACUCCUAGUAGCACCAGGGUAUUAGAUACCGGUUCGGUUGCGAAGUGUUGGUAACUCGAAAUAAAAGGCUACGGAAUAAACGGAGACUAGCUAAAGGUGAGAUGACGAUAUGUGUUGGAAGUGUUUCCAAGGUUGAUGUGAUCAAGCAUCGCAUGCUCCCUCUACCAUCGAGAUUGGUGUUAAACCUAAAUAAUUGUUAUUUGGUGUUUGCGUUGAGCAUAGACAUGAUUGGAUUAUGUUUAUCGCAAUACGGUUAUUCAUUUAAGGAGAAUAAUGGUUACUCUGUCUAUUUGAAUAAUACCUUCAAUGGUCUUGCACCUAAAAUGAAUGGUUUAUUGAAUCUCGAUCGUAGUGAUACACAUGUUCAUGCCAAAAGAUAUAAGAUAAUAAUGAUAGUACCACAUACUUGUGGCACUGCCACUUGAGUCAUAUUGGUAUAAAACGCAUGAAGAAGCUCCAUGUUGACGGAUCUUUGGACUCACUCGUUUUUGAAAAGAUCGAGACAUGCGAACCAUGUCUAUUAGUAUAUAUGCAUGAAGAAAGUCCAUACAGAUGGAUCGUUUGGACUCACUUGAUUUUGAAUCACUUGAGACAUGCAAAUCAUACCACAUGGGCAAGAUGACUGAAAGGCCUCAUUUUCAGUAAGAUGGAACAAGAAGGCAACUUGUUGGAAGUAAUACAUUUUGAUGUGUGCAGUCCAAUGAGUGCUGAGGCAUGUAGUGGAUAUCAUUCUGUUCUUGCUUCACAGAUGAUUUGAGUAGAUGCUGAGUAUAUUUACUUGAUGAAACACAAGUCUGAAUUAUUGAAAGGUUCAAGUAAUUUCAGAGUGAAGUUGUAGAUCGUCGUGACAAGAGGAUAAAAUGUCUGUGAUAUGAUCAUAGAGAUGAAUAUCUGAGUUGCGAGUUUGGCACACAAUUAAGAAAUUGUGGAAAUUGUUUCACAACUAAUACCGCCUGGAACACCAUAGUGUGAUGGUGUGUCCGAACAUCAUAACUGCACCCUAUUGGAUAUGGUGCAUACCAUGAUGUCUCUUAUCGAAUUACACUAUCGUUCAUGGGUUAGCCAUUAGAGACAACCGCAUUCACUUUAAAUAGGGCACCACGCAAUUCCGUUGAGAAGACACCGUAUGAACUAUGGUUUAGAGAAACCUAAGCUGUCGUUUCUUAAAAGUUUGGGGCUGUGACACUUAUGUGGAAAAUUUUCAGGCUAAUAAGCUCGAACCCAAAGCGGAUAAAUGCAUCUUCUUAGAAUACCCAAAACAGUUGGGUAUACCUCCUAUUUCAGAUCUGGAAGCAAAAGUGAUUGUUUCUAGAAACGGGUCCUUUCUCGAGGAAAAGUUUCUCUCGAAAGAAUUGAGUGGGAGGAUGGUGGAGACUUGAUGAGGUCAUUGAACCGUCACUUCAACUAAUGUGUAGCAAGGCACAGGAAGUUGUUCCUGUGGCACCUACACCAAUUGAAGUGGAAGGUUAUGAUAGUGAUCAUGAAACUUCAGAUCAAGUCACUACCAAACCUCAUAGGAUGACAAGGAUGCGUACUACUUCAGAGUGGUACGUAAUCCUGUCUUGGAAGUCAUGUUGUUGGACAACGAUGAACCUAUGAGCUGUGGAGAAGCGAUGGCGGGCCCGGAUUCCAACGAAUGGCUCGAGGCCAUAAAAUCCGAGAGAGGAUCCAUGUAUAAAAACAAAGUGUAGACUUUGGAAGAACUACUUGAUGGUCGUAAGGCUGUUGGGUGCAGAUGGAUUUUAAAAGGAAGACAGACAAUGAUGGUAAGUGUCACCAUUAAGAAAGCUCGACUUGUCGUUAAGAUGUUUUCCGGCAAGUUCAAGGAGUUGACUGCGAUGAGACUUUCUCACUCGUAGCGAUGCUAAGAGUCUGUUGGAAUUAUAUUUAGCAGUUACUACAUUAUUUAUGAAAUCUUGCAGAUAGGAUGUCAAAACAUUGUUUCCUCGACGAUUUUCUUGAGGAAAGGUUGUAUGUGAUACAACCAGAAGGUUUUGUCAAUCCUGAAAGAUGCUAACAAGUAUGCAAAGCUCCAGCAAUCCUUCUAAGGAUUGGAGUAAGCAUCUCGGAGUUGGAAUGUACGCUUUGAUGAGAUGAUCAAAGAUUUUGGGUUUUUACAAAGUUUAUGAGAAACUUGUAUUUCCAAAGAAGUGAGUGGGAGCACUAUAGAAUUUCUGAUGAGUAUAUGUUGUUGACAUAUUGUUGAUCGGAAAUGAUGUAGAAUUUCUGGAAAGCAUCCAGGGUUAUUUGAAAAUUGUUUUUCAAUGGAAAACCUGGAUUAAGCUACUUGAACAUUGAGCAUCAAGAUCUAUAAGGAUAGAUCAAAACGCUUAAUAGUACUUUCAAAUGAAUGCAUACCGUGACAAGAUUUUGAAGGAGUUCAAAAUAGAUCAGCAAAGAAGGAGUUCUUGGCUGUGUUACAAGGUGUGAGUAUUGAGUGAGACUCAAGACCUGACCACGGCAGAAGAGAGAGCAAGGACGAAGGUCGUCCCCUAUGCUUUAGACAUAGGCUCUACAGUACGCUAUGCUAUGUACCGCACAUGGAGUGUGCCUUGCCAUGAAUUAGUCAAGGGGUACAAGAGUGAUCCAGGAAUGGAUCACAUGACAGCGGUCGAACUUAUCCUUAGUGUCUAGUGGACUAAGGAAUUUUCUCGAUUAUGGAGGUGGUAAAAGAGCUCGUCGUAAAGGGUUACGUUGAUGCAAACUUUGACACUAAUCCGGAUGACUCUGAGUAGUAAACCGGAUUUGUAUAGUAGAGCAGUUAUUUGGAAUAGCUCCAAGUAGCGCGUGCUAGCUACAUCUACAAGAUGACAUAGAGAUUUGUAAAGCACACACGGAUCUGAAUGUUGCAGACCCGUUGACUAAAACCUCUCUCGUAAGCAUAACAUGAUCAAACCCUAGAACUCAUUGAGUGUUAAUCACAUGGUGAUGUGGACUAGAUUAUUGACUCUAGUAAACUCUUGGGUAUUAGUCACAUGGCGAUGUGAACUUUGAGUGUUAAUCACAUGGUGAUGUGAACUAGAUUAUUGACUCUAGUGCAAGUGGGAGACUGUUGGAAAUAUGCCCUAGAGGCAAUAAUAAAAUGGUUAUUAUUGUAUUUCCUUGUUCAUGAUAAUUGUCUCUUGUUCAUGCUAUAAUUGUAUUAACUGGAAACCGUAAUACAUGUGUGAAUACAUAGACCACAACAUGUCCCUAGUGAGCCUCUAGUUGACUAGCUCGUUGAUCAACAGAUAGUCAUGGUUUCCUGACUAUGGACAUUGGAUGUCAUUGAUAACGGGAUCACAUCAUUAGGAGAAUGAUGUGAUGGACAAGACCCAAUCCUAAGCAUAGCACAAGAUCGUGUAGUUCGUUUGCUAGAGCUUUUCCAAAUGUCAAGUAUCAUUUCCUUAGACCAUGAGAUUGUGCAACUCCCAGAUACCAUAGGAGUGCUUUGGGUGUGCCAAACGUCACAACGUAACUGGGUGGCUAUAAAGGUGCACUACGGGUAUCUCCGAAAGUGUCUGUUGGUUUGGCACGAAUCGAGACUGGGAUUUGUCACUCCGUAUGACGGAGAGGUAUCUCUGGGCCCACUCGGUAAUGCAUCAUCAUAAUGAGCUCAAUGUGACCAAGUGUUUGGUCACGGGAUCAUGCAUUACGGUACGAGUAAAGUGACUUGCCGGUAACGAGAUUGAACAAGGUAUUGGGAUACCAACGAUCGAAUCUCGGGCAAGUAACGUACCGAUUGACAAAGGGAAUUGUAUACGGGAUUAAUUGAAUCCUCGACAUUGUGGUUCAUCCGAUGAGAUCAUCGUGGAACAUGUGGGAGCCAACAUGGGUAUCCAGAUCCCGUUGUUGGUUAUUGACCGGAGAGUCGUCUCGGUCAUGUCUGCAUGUCUCCCGAACCCGUAGGGUCUACACACUUAAGGUUCGGUGACGCUAGAGUUGUAGAGAUAUUAGUAUGCGGUUAACCGAAAGUUGUUCGGAGUCCCGGAUGAGAUCCCGGACGUCAUGAGGAGUUCCGGAAUGGUCCGGAGGUAAAGAUUCAUAUAUGGGAAGUCCUAUUUUGGCCACCGGAAAAUGUUCGGGAUUUUUCGGUAUUGUACCGGGAAGGUUCUUGAAGGUUCCGAAGUGGGGCCCACCUGCAUGGGGGGACCCACAUGAACGUGGGUAGUGGGGGCAAGGCCCCACACCCCUGGUCAAGGCGCACCAAGAUCCCACCUUAGAAGGAAUAAGAUCAUAUCCCGAAGGGAUAAGAUCAAGAUCCCUAAAAAAGGGGGAUAACAAUUGGUGGGGAAGGGAAAUGAUGGGAUUUCUUUCCCCCACCUUUGCCAACGCCCCAAUGGACUUGGAGGGAAAGAAACCAGCCCCCUCCACCCCUAUAUAUAGUGGGGAGGCGCAUGGGACCAGCACCCCAAGCCCUGGCGCCUCCCUCUCUCCCGUGACACCUCUUCCUCCUCGCUUGCGCUUGGCGAAGCCCUGCCGGGAUCCCGCUACUUCCACCACCACGCCGUCGUGCUGCUGGAUCUCCAUCAACUUCUCCUCCCCCCUUGCUGGAUCAAGAAGGAGGAGACGUCCCCGCUCCGUACGUGUGUUGAACGCGGAGGUGCCGUCCGUUCGGCGCUAGGAUCAUCGGUGAUUUGGAUCACGACGAGUACGACUCCAUCAACCUCGUUCUCUUGAACGCUUCCGCUUAGCGAUCUUCAAGGGUAUGAAGAUGCACUCCCUCUCUCUCGUUGCUAGCAUCUCCUAGAUUGAUCUUGGUGACACGUAGGAAAAUUUUGAAUUAUUGCUACGUUCCCCAACAUCCCCUACUUGAACAUGGUGCUUUAUGCCACAUAUUAUGAUCCAAUGAUGUGUUGCCAUUCUAUGAUAUUUUGAGUAGAUUUCUUUUGUCUUUUGGGUUGAUUGAUGAUCUAGAUUGGUUUGAGUUGUAUGUUUUAUUUUGGUGUUGUCCUAUGAUGCCUUCCGUGUCGUGCACAAUUGAAGGAUUCCCGCUGUAGGGAGUUGUAAUACGUUCAUGAUUCGCUUAUAGUGGGUUGCUAGAGUGACAGAAGCUUAAACCCGAGUAAGGGGGUUGUUGCGUAUGGGAUAAAGGGGACUUGAUGCUUUAAUGCUAUGGUUGGGUUUUACCUCAAUGAUAUUUAGCAGUUGCGGAUGCUUGCUAGAGAUCUAAUCAUAAGUGCAUAUGAUCCAAGAAGAGAAAGUAUGUUAGCUUAUGCCUCUCCCUCAUAUAAAAUUGCAAUGACGACUACCGAUCUUCUUAACAAUUGCCUAGGACAAUUCCGCACACCGAUCCAUCAUUAUUCCACACUCGAUAUUUAUAAUAUAUAAUAAUAUAUUCUAACUUUAUGUUAACACCACUUACUCUAUAUUUUAGUUCUCCGAUAUCAUGCAAAGCUAUCCUCUUCAUACCCACAACGUAGUUUUAUUUCUCGUUUCUAGAUGGAAGCAAACGUUCGGUGUACGUGGAGUCAUAUUAGUGGCAGAUAGGACUUGAGAGAAUAUUGAUCUUACCUUUAGCUCCUUGUGGGUUCGACACUCCAUACUUAUCACUUCCACCUUUGGAAAUUGCUAUGAUGAUUCCUUGCACUUGGGGAUUAUCAGAGUAGAUGCUACAUUUCCAGUGAAAUGUAGCACACAUGAUUCCAUAGGAAAAAGUCCUAUAGGAUUAAAUCGUAUGAAUUAAACAACCAAGGUAGGGGACAUUCCUAAGGAGACUAGCGGAGAAAUGGCUAGCGACAAGUUUGGUUGGUGGCUCACCAUUUCCAAUCAACGCCCGCACUUUUUUCCAAGUAGUGGUGGUGUUGGCACAUUCGGUACGUCACCUUUAUAAGGUUAGUGUAGGUGUUGCUUUUUGAAAAAUGCCACCAAUUUGUGGGCCUAGCUAUAAUGACCAGAUGGAAGAUAGUGGUGGCGUUAGAGUUCUAUGUACGCCAUAGGUAAACAUUCUAGUGCUGGCAUGCCUUGUAUUGGAACGUCAUCACUAAGUUUUGCCUAUAUAUAGGAGUUUUGGCGGCCUUUCGUUUCUCAAACAAAUUCACUUUCAUUCUCCACAAAAUCUUCUCCCUAACUAGCUAGCUCCUCUUUUUUUGUUCCCUCUUAGCAAGCUAGCUACGUGCACUGGGUGGUAAUGGACCCACUGACGUCGGCGGAGCAUGUUGAAGCAGGUUGGGACUCCGUCGCCUUGGCCGAGCUCCCCUCGGGCCCUAUUGGCUAUGCCAUGAGCUCUCCAAGGCCAAUGCAGUCGGCCCUGUCUGGAGAAACAUCCUGCUGCAGCAACAUGACAUAAUUUUUUAUUGUUCGAUCCGGCAGCUACACCACUGAUACGUCUCCAACGUAUCUAUAAUUUUUUAUUGUUCCAUGCUAUUAUAGUAUCAAUCUUUGAUGUUUUAUAUGCAAUUUUAUAACAUUUUUUGGGACUAACCUAUUAACCUAGUGCCCAGUGUUAGUUAAUUUUUUUUGCUUGUUUUUGGGUUUUCAGAAAAUCAAUAUCAAACGAGUCCAAACGAAAAAAAAA
RNAcentral lists this long non-coding RNA (30230 nucleotides) under Triticum aestivum (bread wheat). Its description in RNAcentral is "long non-coding RNA (TAES_LNC000867)". The record is from RNAcentral. Lineage: Eukaryota; Viridiplantae; Streptophyta; Magnoliopsida; Poales; Poaceae.